This 7086-nucleotide long non-coding RNA is filed under the name Homo sapiens (human). The record is from RNAcentral. Lineage: Eukaryota; Metazoa; Chordata; Mammalia; Primates; Hominidae.
AAUUAAUACCAAUAGAAGGGCAAUGCUUUUAGAUUAAAAUGAAGGUGACUUAAACAGCUUAAAGUUUAGUUUAAAAGUUGUAGGUGAUUAAAAUAAUUUGAAGGCGAUCUUUUAAAAAGAGAUUAAACCGAAGGUGAUUAAAAGACCUUGAAAUCCAUGACGCAGGGAGAAUUGCGUCAUUUAAAGCCUAGUUAACGCAUUUACUAAACGCAGACGAAAAUGGAAAGAUUAAUUGGGAGUGGUAGGAUGAAACAAUUUGGAGAAGAUAGAAGUUUGAAGUGGAAAACUGGAAGACAGAAGUACGGGAAGGCGAAGAAAAGAAUAGAGAAGAUAGGGAAAUUAGAAGAUAAAAACAUACUUUUAGAAGAAAAAAGAUAAAUUUAAACCUGAAAAGUAGGAAGCAGAAGAAAAAAGACAAGCUAGGAAACAAAAAGCUAAGGGCAAAAUGUACAAACUUAGAAGAAAAUUGGAAGAUAGAAACAAGAUAGAAAAUGAAAAUAUUGUCAAGAGUUUCAGAUAGAAAAUGAAAAACAAGCUAAGACAAGUAUUGGAGAAGUAUAGAAGAUAGAAAAAUAUAAAGCCAAAAAUUGGAUAAAAUAGCACUGAAAAAAUGAGGAAAUUAUUGGUAACCAAUUUAUUUUAAAAGCCCAUCAAUUUAAUUUCUGGUGGUGCAGAAGUUAGAAGGUAAAGCUUGAGAAGAUGAGGGUGUUUACGUAGACCAGAACCAAUUUAGAAGAAUACUUGAAGCUAGAAGGGGAAGUUGGUUAAAAAUCACAUCAAAAAGCUACUAAAAGGACUGGUGUAAUUUAAAAAAAACUAAGGCAGAAGGCUUUUGGAAGAGUUAGAAGAAUUUGGAAGGCCUUAAAUAUAGUAGCUUAGUUUGAAAAAUGUGAAGGACUUUCGUAACGGAAGUAAUUCAAGAUCAAGAGUAAUUACCAACUUAAUGUUUUUGCAUUGGACUUUGAGUUAAGAUUAUUUUUUAAAUCCUGAGGACUAGCAUUAAUUGACAGCUGACCCAGGUGCUACACAGAAGUGGAUUCAGUGAAUCUAGGAAGACAGCAGCAGACAGGAUUCCAGGAACCAGUGUUUGAUGAAGCUAGGACUGAGGAGCAAGCGAGCAAGCAGCAGUUCGUGGUGAAGAUAGGAAAAGAGUCCAGGAGCCAGUGCGAUUUGGUGAAGGAAGCUAGGAAGAAGGAAGGAGCGCUAACGAUUUGGUGGUGAAGCUAGGAAAAAGGAUUCCAGGAAGGAGCGAGUGCAAUUUGGUGAUGAAGGUAGCAGGCGGCUUGGCUUGGCAACCACACGGAGGAGGCGAGCAGGCGUUGUGCGUAGAGGAUCCUAGACCAGCAUGCCAGUGUGCCAAGGCCACAGGGAAAGCGAGUGGUUGGUAAAAAUCCGUGAGGUCGGCAAUAUGUUGUUUUUCUGGAACUUACUUAUGGUAACCUUUUAUUUAUUUUCUAAUAUAAUGGGGGAGUUUCGUACUGAGGUGUAAAGGGAUUUAUAUGGGGACGUAGGCCGAUUUCCGGGUGUUGUAGGUUUCUCUUUUUCAGGCUUAUACUCAUGAAUCUUGUCUGAAGCUUUUGAGGGCAGACUGCCAAGUCCUGGAGAAAUAGUAGAUGGCAAGUUUGUGGGUUUUUUUUUUUUACACGAAUUUGAGGAAAACCAAAUGAAUUUGAUAGCCAAAUUGAGACAAUUUCAGCAAAUCUGUAAGCAGUUUGUAUGUUUAGUUGGGGUAAUGAAGUAUUUCAGUUUUGUGAAUAGAUGACCUGUUUUUACUUCCUCACCCUGAAUUCGUUUUGUAAAUGUAGAGUUUGGAUGUGUAACUGAGGCGGGGGGGAGUUUUCAGUAUUUUUUUUUGUGGGGGUGGGGGCAAAAUAUGUUUUCAGUUCUUUUUCCCUUAGGUCUGUCUAGAAUCCUAAAGGCAAAUGACUCAAGGUGUAACAGAAAACAAGAAAAUCCAAUAUCAGGAUAAUCAGACCACCACAGGUUUACAGUUUAUAGAAACUAGAGCAGUUCUCACGUUGAGGUCUGUGGAAGAGAUGUCCAUUGGAGAAAUGGCUGGUAGUUACUCUUUUUUCCCCCCACCCCCUUAAUCAGACUUUAAAAGUGCUUAACCCCUUAAACUUGUUAUUUUUUACUUGAAGCAUUUUGGGAUGGUCUUAACAGGGAAGAGAGAGGGUGGGGGAGAAAAUGUUUUUUUCUAAGAUUUUCCACAGAUGCUAUAGUACUAUUGACAAACUGGGUUAGAGAAGGAGUGUACCGCUGUGCUGUUGGCACGAACACCUUCAGGGACUGGAGCUGCUUUUAUCCUUGGAAGAGUAUUCCCAGUUGAAGCUGAAAAGUACAGCACAGUGCAGCUUUGGUUCAUAUUCAGUCAUCUCAGGAGAACUUCAGAAGAGCUUGAGUAGGCCAAAUGUUGAAGUUAAGUUUUCCAAUAAUGUGACUUCUUAAAAGUUUUAUUAAAGGGGAGGGGCAAAUAUUGGCAAUUAGUUGGCAGUGGCCUGUUACGGUUGGGAUUGGUGGGGUGGGUUUAGGUAAUUGUUUAGUUUAUGAUUGCAGAUAAACUCAUGCCAGAGAACUUAAAGUCUUAGAAUGGAAAAAGUAAAGAAAUAUCAACUUCCAAGUUGGCAAGUAACUCCCAAUGAUUUAGUUUUUUUCCCCCCAGUUUGAAUUGGGAAGCUGGGGGAAGUUAAAUAUGAGCCACUGGGUGUACCAGUGCAUUAAUUUGGGCAAGGAAAGUGUCAUAAUUUGAUACUGUAUCUGUUUUCCUUCAAAGUAUAGAGCUUUUGGGGAAGGAAAGUAUUGAACUGGGGGUUGGUCUGGCCUACUGGGCUGACAUUAACUACAAUUAUGGGAAAUGCAAAAGUUGUUUGGAUAUGGUAGUGUGUGGUUCUCUUUUGGAAUUUUUUUCAGGUGAUUUAAUAAUAAUUUAAAACUACUAUAGAAACUGCAGAGCAAAGGAAGUGGCUUAAUGAUCCUGAAGGGAUUUCUUCUGAUGGUAGCUUUUGUAUUAUCAAGUAAGAUUCUAUUUUCAGUUGUGUGUAAGCAAGUUUUUUUUUAGUGUAGGAGAAAUACUUUUCCAUUGUUUAACUGCAAAACAAGAUGUUAAGGUAUGCUUCAAAAAUUUUGUAAAUUGUUUAUUUUAAACUUAUCUGUUUGUAAAUUGUAACUGAUUAAGAAUUGUGAUAGUUCAGCUUGAAUGUCUCUUAGAGGGUGGGCUUUUGUUGAUGAGGGAGGGGAAACUUUUUUUUUUUCUAUAGACUUUUUUCAGAUAACAUCUUCUGAGUCAUAACCAGCCUGGCAGUAUGAUGGCCUAGAUGCAGAGAAAACAGCUCCUUGGUGAAUUGAUAAGUAAAGGCAGAAAAGAUUAUAUGUCAUACCUCCAUUGGGGAAUAAGCAUAACCCUGAGAUUCUUACUACUGAUGAGAACAUUAUCUGCAUAUGCCAAAAAAUUUUAAGCAAAUGAAAGCUACCAAUUUAAAGUUACGGAAUCUACCAUUUUAAAGUUAAUUGCUUGUCAAGCUAUAACCACAAAAAUAAUGAAUUGAUGAGAAAUACAAUGAAGAGGCAAUGUCCAUCUCAAAAUACUGCUUUUACAAAAGCAGAAUAAAAGCGAAAAGAAAUGAAAAUGUUACACUACAUUAAUCCUGGAAUAAAAGAAGCCGAAAUAAAUGAGAGAUGAGUUGGGAUCAAGUGGAUUGAGGAGGCUGUGCUGUGUGCCAAUGUUUCGUUUGCCUCAGACAGGUAUCUCUUCGUUAUCAGAAGAGUUGCUUCAUUUCAUCUGGGAGCAGAAAACAGCAGGCAGCUGUUAACAGAUAAGUUUAACUUGCAUCUGCAGUAUUGCAUGUUAGGGAUAAGUGCUUAUUUUUAAGAGCUGUGGAGUUCUUAAAUAUCAACCAUGGCACUUUCUCCUGACCCCUUCCCUAGGGGAUUUCAGGAUUGAGAAAUUUUUCCAUCGAGCCUUUUUAAAAUUGUAGGACUUGUUCCUGUGGGCUUCAGUGAUGGGAUAGUACACUUCACUCAGAGGCAUUUGCAUCUUUAAAUAAUUUCUUAAAAGCCUCUAAAGUGAUCAGUGCCUUGAUGCCAACUAAGGAAAUUUGUUUAGCAUUGAAUCUCUGAAGGCUCUAUGAAAGGAAUAGCAUGAUGUGCUGUUAGAAUCAGAUGUUACUGCUAAAAUUUACAUGUUGUGAUGUAAAUUGUGUAGAAAACCAUUAAAUCAUUCAAAAUAAUAAACUAUUUUUAUUAGAGAAUGUAUACUUUUAGAAAGCUGUCUCCUUAUUUAAAUAAAAUAGUGUUUGUCUGUAGUUCAGUGUUGGGGCAAUCUUGGGGGGGAUUCUUCUCUAAUCUUUCAGAAACUUUGUCUGCGAACACUCUUUAAUGGACCAGAUCAGGAUUUGAGCGGAAGAACGAAUGUAACUUUAAGGCAGGAAAGACAAAUUUUAUUCUUCAUAAAGUGAUGAGCAUAUAAUAAUUCCAGGCACAUGGCAAUAGAGGCCCUCUAAAUAAGGAAUAAAUAACCUCUUAGACAGGUGGGAGAUUAUGAUCAGAGUAAAAGGUAAUUACACAUUUUAUUUCCAGAAAGUCAGGGGUCUAUAAAUUGACAGUGAUUAGAGUAAUACUUUUUCACAUUUCCAAAGUUUGCAUGUUAACUUUAAAUGCUUACAAUCUUAGAGUGGUAGGCAAUGUUUUACACUAUUGACCUUAUAUAGGGAAGGGAGGGGGUGCCUGUGGGGUUUUAAAGAAUUUUCCUUUGCAGAGGCAUUUCAUCCUUCAUGAAGCCAUUCAGGAUUUUGAAUUGCAUAUGAGUGCUUGGCUCUUCCUUCUGUUCUAGUGAGUGUAUGAGACCUUGCAGUGAGUUUAUCAGCAUACUCAAAAUUUUUUUCCUGGAAUUUGGAGGGAUGGGAGGAGGGGGUGGGGCUUACUUGUUGUAGCUUUUUUUUUUUUUACAGACUUCACAGAGAAUGCAGUUGUCUUGACUUCAGGUCUGUCUGUUCUGUUGGCAAGUAAAUGCAGUACUGUUCUGAUCCCGCUGCUAUUAGAAUGCAUUGUGAAACGACUGGAGUAUGAUUAAAAGUUGUGUUCCCCAAUGCUUGGAGUAGUGAUUGUUGAAGGAAAAAAUCCAGCUGAGUGAUAAAGGCUGAGUGUUGAGGAAAUUUCUGCAGUUUUAAGCAGUCGUAUUUGUGAUUGAAGCUGAGUACAUUUUGCUGGUGUAUUUUUAGGUAAAAUGCUUUUUGUUCAUUUCUGGUGGUGGGAGGGGACUGAAGCCUUUAGUCUUUUCCAGAUGCAACCUUAAAAUCAGUGACAAGAAACAUUCCAAACAAGCAACAGUCUUCAAGAAAUUAAACUGGCAAGUGGAAAUGUUUAAACAGUUCAGUGAUCUUUAGUGCAUUGUUUAUGUGUGGGUUUCUCUCUCCCCUCCCUUGGUCUUAAUUCUUACAUGCAGGAACACUCAGCAGACACACGUAUGCGAAGGGCCAGAGAAGCCAGACCCAGUAAGAAAAAAUAGCCUAUUUACUUUAAAUAAACCAAACAUUCCAUUUUAAAUGUGGGGAUUGGGAACCACUAGUUCUUUCAGAUGGUAUUCUUCAGACUAUAGAAGGAGCUUCCAGUUGAAUUCACCAGUGGACAAAAUGAGGAAAACAGGUGAACAAGCUUUUUCUGUAUUUACAUACAAAGUCAGAUCAGUUAUGGGACAAUAGUAUUGAAUAGAUUUCAGCUUUAUGCUGGAGUAACUGGCAUGUGAGCAAACUGUGUUGGCGUGGGGGUGGAGGGGUGAGGUGGGCGCUAAGCCUUUUUUUAAGAUUUUUCAGGUACCCCUCACUAAAGGCACCGAAGGCUUAAAGUAGGACAACCAUGGAGCCUUCCUGUGGCAGGAGAGACAACAAAGCGCUAUUAUCCUAAGGUCAAGAGAAGUGUCAGCCUCACCUGAUUUUUAUUAGUAAUGAGGACUUGCCUCAACUCCCUCUUUCUGGAGUGAAGCAUCCGAAGGAAUGCUUGAAGUACCCCUGGGCUUCUCUUAACAUUUAAGCAAGCUGUUUUUAUAGCAGCUCUUAAUAAUAAAGCCCAAAUCUCAAGCGGUGCUUGAAGGGGAGGGAAAGGGGGAAAGCGGGCAACCACUUUUCCCUAGCUUUUCCAGAAGCCUGUUAAAAGCAAGGUCUCCCCACAAGCAACUUCUCUGCCACAUCGCCACCCCGUGCCUUUUGAUCUAGCACAGACCCUUCACCCCUCACCUCGAUGCAGCCAGUAGCUUGGAUCCUUGUGGGCAUGAUCCAUAAUCGGUUUCAAGGUAACGAUGGUGUCGAGGUCUUUGGUGGGUUGAACUAUGUUAGAAAAGGCCAUUAAUUUGCCUGCAAAUUGUUAACAGAAGGGUAUUAAAACCACAGCUAAGUAGCUCUAUUAUAAUACUUAUCCAGUGACUAAAACCAACUUAAACCAGUAAGUGGAGAAAUAACAUGUUCAAGAACUGUAAUGCUGGGUGGGAACAUGUAACUUGUAGACUGGAGAAGAUAGGCAUUUGAGUGGCUGAGAGGGCUUUUGGGUGGGAAUGCAAAAAUUCUCUGCUAAGACUUUUUCAGGUGAACAUAACAGACUUGGCCAAGCUAGCAUCUUAGCGGAAGCUGAUCUCCAAUGCUCUUCAGUAGGGUCAUGAAGGUUUUUCUUUUCCUGAGAAAACAACACGUAUUGUUUUCUCAGGUUUUGCUUUUUGGCCUUUUUCUAGCUUAAAAAAAAAAAAAGCAAAAGAUGCUGGUGGUUGGCACUCCUGGUUUCCAGGACGGGGUUCAAAUCCCUGCGGCGUCUUUGCUUUGACUACUAAUCUGUCUUCAGGACUCUUUCUGUAUUUCUCCUUUUCUCUGCAGGUGCUAGUUCUUGGAGUUUUGGGGAGGUGGGAGGUAACAGCACAAUAUCUUUGAACUAUAUACAUCCUUGAUGUAUAAUUUGUCAGGAGCUUGACUUGAUUGUAUAUUCAUAUUUACACGAGAACCUAAUAUAACUGCCUUGUCUUUUUCAGGUAAUAGCCUGCAGCUGGUGUUUUGAGAAGCCCUACUGCUGAAAACUUAACAAUUUUGUGUAAUAAAAAUGGAGAAGCUC